Molecule: ribosomal RNA, 471 nt
Filed under: Triticum aestivum (bread wheat)
Lineage: Eukaryota; Viridiplantae; Streptophyta; Magnoliopsida; Poales; Poaceae
Description: partial small subunit ribosomal RNA
Source: RNAcentral
AUGCCUCGGUUCACCUGCUUCCUGAUGUCCAAUUAUUUUUUGUUGUUGCUAUAUUCAACCUCAUCUCUGAAAGCCUACACCUUCCUGUGCUGUUGCUAUAUUCACAAGUUUGACAGGAGAAGGGACUGGAGGCAUACAGUAGGCAGAACAGUGGAACAAAACUCAGCUUCAAUUAAUCGACAUGGUGUUCGCAAAUGGAAAGUCGAGUUGGUGGACACAAUGGACAAUAAGCCCAUGAAGCUCCAGAAGUCCAGAUUUGGAUACGUCUUGGAUGUGACUAAUUGUAUGACAUGCCGAUAUCUGGCGAGCUUGGUGUGUUCUGUUUUCUCACACCCACCGCUGUCGCACAAGGUGAUUGUUGGACGUGAGCGAGCUUCAGGAGCACUUCCUACAGGCUGUCGGCCGUUCACAAUUUUACUGAUCUGGACACACCACCUUCUCAGGUCUAAAAUUUUGAGUUUUCAGGUCUAA